UGAGAUGUGUUAGAGGAAGAAAAAAAAAAAUUCAAUACAUUUGUUAAAGCUCCGGAAGGCAGACUUUAUUCAAAGCUAUCACUUUGCUCUGUGCCUGGUGCUGGAGACAUUGAAAUAAAAGAUACAAGUGCUGCCCACAGGAAACUCACAGACCAGUGCGGGGAGAAGGGGGCAGGCCUGUGAGCCCAUCUACAGAACAAAAUGCCCCCCGGUGAGGCUGCUCAGUGGGGCUCCCUGAUCCACAGAAGACCUGGGGGCUCCAGGAAGGAUGAGGGGACCAAGAAGCGACCUACAUUCUAACCAGGGCAGGCAGCAGAGGUGGCAGGAAGGGGAAGGGCUCUAAGCACCCCUGCUCCUGCACAGAAAUCCACUUGCCUGAGAAGUUGUGGACUAAGGAAAACUAAGGACUUUUCCAGACGAAAACUGGCUGAAGAGACCUGAGAACUUGAUGCAAAGCAUGAUCCCAGAUUGGACCUGGAUUGUGGGGAGACGUAGUUCACAAGGGACUGUUUGGGGCGAUUGGCAACGUGUGAAUAUGGACUAUGGAUUGGAAAACAGCAUUGGAUGAACGUCAAAUUUCCUGAUUUUGCUUGCUGUUCUGUGGCUACAUAAGAGAACAUUCUUGUUCUUAAAAAAUACACACUGACGUAUUUAGGAAGUAUUCAGGAACAUGAUGUCUGCAACUCACUUUUGAAUAGUCCAGGAAAAUACAUACGUAUAUUAAAUAUGACAGGGGAUGGAGAAUGAUAACACAAAAGGGGGAAAAUAUUAACAGUUGGUGAAUCUGGAUAAAGUGUUCCUUGAACAUGAGUUCUUUGAACUAUUCUUGAAACUUUCAUGUAAAUUGGAAAUUAUAUCAAUUUAAAGCUUAAAAAGAAACAAAGGCAAGCCCAGGGUUGGAUUCUGUGGAUCGCAAACUCAGGGUGAGAAUAAACCAAACUUUGUGAGGUAGCAACAGAACCAAUACUGGAUUUGUUUAUUUUUUAAAAGUCAUCAUCUAUGGAAGGUUGACUUAAUGUAUCCUCCAAAUAUUAAUAGUUACUGACAACCACGUGUUUUUGUUUAUGCUAUCAUUUUAACAGAGUUUACGUUACAUAUUGAUUAUUGACCAGAAGCUUCCAGAAUGAGGAUCACCUGGGAGCAAUUUUCCCUGAGCG
RNAcentral lists this long non-coding RNA (1157 nucleotides) under Equus caballus (horse). RNAcentral's name for it is "lncRNA (ENSECAG00000050155.1)". The record is from RNAcentral. Lineage: Eukaryota; Metazoa; Chordata; Mammalia; Perissodactyla; Equidae.